UGGUAGCGGUGUGAACAGGUAGUGGUAGCGGUGUGAACAGGCAGUGGUAGCGGUGUGAACAGGCAGUGGUAGCGGUGUGAACAGGCAGUGGUAGCGGUGUGAACAGGCAGUGGUAGCGGUGUAAACAGGCAGUGGUAGCGGUGUGAACAGGCAGUGGUAGCGGUGUGAACAGGUAGUGGUAGCGGUGUGAACAGGCAGUGGUAGCGGUGUGAACAGGCAGUGGUAGCGGUGUGAACAGGUAGUGGUAGCGGUGUGAACAGGCAGUGGUAGCGGUGUGAACAGGCAGUGGUAGCGGUGUGAACAGGUAGUGGUAGCGGUGUGAACAGGCAGUGGUAGCGGUGUGAACAGGCAGUGGUAGCGGUGUGAACAGGCAGUGGUAGCGGUGUGAACAGGCAGUGGUAGCGGUGUAAACAGGUAGUGGUAGCGGUGUGAACAGGCAGUGGUAGCGGUGUGAACAGGCAGUGGUAGCGGUGUGAACAGGUAGUGGUAGCGGUGUGAACAGGCAGUGGUAGCGGUGUGAACAGGCAGUGGUAGCGGUGUGAACAGGUAGUGGUAGCGGUGUGAACAGGCAGUGGUAGCGGUGUGAACAGGCAGUGGUAGCGGUGUGAACAGGC
Long non-coding RNA from Oncorhynchus keta (chum salmon), 614 nucleotides. RefSeq lists it as uncharacterized. The record is from RefSeq and is a predicted model, not a curated record. The transcript has 3 exons. Lineage: Eukaryota; Metazoa; Chordata; Actinopteri; Salmoniformes; Salmonidae.